ACGUAGGGGGCGAGCGUUGUCCGAAGUUACUGGGCGUAAAGCGCGCGUAGGCGGUCUAUUAAGUCUGAGGUGAAAGGUUCAACGCUCAACGUGAACAGUGCCUUGGAUACUGGUAGACUUGAGUGUGGCAGAGGAGUAUGGAAUUCCUGGUGUAGCGGUGAAAUGCGUAGAUAUCAGGAGGAAUACCGAUGGCGAAGGCAGUACUCUGGGCUAACACUGACGCUGAGGUGCGAAAGCGUGGGGAGCAAACGGGAUUAGAUACCCCGGUAGUCCACGCCGUAAACGAUGAGUGCUAGGUGUAGGAGGUAUCGACCCCUCCUGUGCCGUCGCUAACGCAUUAAGCACUCCGCCUGGGGAGUACGGCCGCAAGGUUG
This 374-nucleotide ribosomal RNA is filed under the name uncultured bacterium. Its description in RNAcentral is "bacterial SSU rRNA". It matches the Rfam family "Bacterial small subunit ribosomal RNA", at positions 525 to 896 of the family's 1533-position model. The record is from RNAcentral.